RNAcentral lists this ribosomal RNA (256 nucleotides) under uncultured bacterium. RNAcentral's name for it is "partial 16S ribosomal RNA". It matches the Rfam family "Bacterial small subunit ribosomal RNA", at positions 524 to 776 of the family's 1533-position model. The record is from RNAcentral.
UACGUAGGGUGCAAGCGUUGUCCGGAAUUAUUGGGCGUAAAGAGCUUGUAGGCGGUUUUGUCGCGUCUGCUGUGAAAUUUCGGGGGCUCAACCCCGAACUUGCAGUGGGGUACGGGCAGACUAGAGUGUGGUAGGGGAGACUGGAAUUCCUGGUGUAGCGGUGAAAUGCGCAGAUAUCAGGAGGAACACCUAUGGCGAAGGCAGCUCGCUGGGACGUUACUGACGCUGAGACGCGAAAGCGUGGGGAGCAAACAGG